RNAcentral lists this ribosomal RNA (795 nucleotides) under uncultured bacterium. RNAcentral describes it as "bacterial SSU rRNA". It matches the Rfam family "Bacterial small subunit ribosomal RNA", at positions 34 to 773 of the family's 1533-position model. The record is from RNAcentral.
CGCUGGCGGCGUGGAUAGGCAUGCAAGUCGUACGGUCGCUUGUGCUUCACCAUGUUCAGCACAAACUUCAUUUAUGCAUAUAUGAAGCGAGUGGUGAGCGUAGCGAAGCACGAGCGGUAGUGGCGAACGAGUUAGUAACACGUAGAUAUCAACCCUCAACACAUGCAUAACCAGUCGAAAGAUUGGCUAAUUCAUGAUAGUCCCAAUAUGUAAUUUAUAUGUUGGGUAAAGGGUAUCCGCAAGGAUUACCGGUUGAGGAUGAGUCUGCGGCUUAUCAGCUAGUUGGUGAGGUAAUGGCUCACCAAGGCUAUGACGAGUAGGGGAAGUGAGAGCUUGUUCCCCAACGGCGGAACUGUGACACGGUCCGCACUCCUACGGGAGGCCGCAGUCGAGAAUAUUGGUCAAUGGGCGAAAGCCUGAACCAGCGACGCCGCGUGCUUGAAGAAGCCCUUCGGGGUGUAAAGGAGCUUUUCUGGGGGAAUAACUUCGGUGAAGGUACCCCAGGNAAUAAGGAGGUGCAAACUCUGUGCCAGCAGCAGCGGUAAUACAGAGCCUCCAAGCGUUAUCCGGAUUUAUUGGGCGUAAAGGGUCCGUAGGCGUCCCGUUGCAUCUUUUGUUAAAUCUUCAGGGCUCAACCUUGAAGCUGCGGAAGAAAUGGACGGGAUAGAGGGCAUUANGGGCUGAUGGAACGGUCNGGUGUAGGGGUGAAAUCCGUUGAUAUCGACNGAACACCAAAGCGAAGGCAUUCAGCUGGGAUGACCCUGACGCUGAAGGACGAAAGCGUGGGUAGCGAAC